CAUGAAUUGUCAUGGCGCCGGAACAAAGAGGUAAAGGGAAGGAAAUGAGGCCUUCACAGGGGGAGACACUUCAGUAGUGUCCGGGCGCAGGUCCUUCAUCAGAUCUGGUUCUGGAGGACCCAGAUGAUUUUACUGGGGUCCCGGAGGAGUAUCAUGAUUUGCGGGUGGUUUUCAUCUGUUC
Pimephales promelas (fathead minnow) is the source of this 181-nucleotide long non-coding RNA. RefSeq lists it as uncharacterized. NCBI's taxonomy places the organism in Eukaryota, Metazoa, Chordata, Actinopteri, Cypriniformes, Leuciscidae. The record is from RefSeq and is a predicted model, not a curated record.